GGUUUUUCUAGAAAUAAUUGAGAUGUUUUUGGAGUGAUUAUAUUCAUACUAAAUCAGUUUUUCAUUUGGUAAUGGUUUGGAUAUCGAUUUCUUGAAAACAAGUGAGAUUUUGAUAUUUUUCUGAAAUCCAGGAAUUUAGAUUAGAAGAGGUUAUUCUGAGGCUUUUAGUUGGGAUUAGUUGUUAAUAAUUAUUGUUCUUGACCAUUUUCUAUCGAGAAAGAGUUUUGCCAAUCGAAUCAGAAGUGCUAAGGAUUGUGUCGGCGUUUCUUGAGUUGCUUGUUGGGGAGAAUUGUUGCAUUAUGUUUUGGUGGCAGUUUCCUAAGUGUCCGGAGCCAAUUUCGGUUUAGUGGGCAACAAAGAGGACUAGUUACUGAUUUGGAGGUGAUAAACGGGUACUUGGUGUGAUCAAGCAAGGCAAUACUAAGAAAUAAAGCGUAUGUGUGAUUUCCUUAAAGAUGGCAAUGUGGGAACCAUUGGGAACCUAGACAUUUGAUUUGCAUAUGACGUAAUAAGGAGAUUUUGAGUUUUGGAGUUUAAUUUGUGGUGAUGAUUGCUUAAUAAGUUGGACUUGUGAAAUUGUGUGGUUAUGUGUAUGUUCUUGUUAUUUUGAAUAUGGAAAUUUGAUUGACGUUGAAAUAUGAUUUAAGAAAGUGAUUAGAGUGUUUAGACAAGUGUCACAAAAUAAACUAAACAUAAUAGGCUCAUAGGAUGCAUGUAAUGACCCAAAAUGCAUAAUUGGACUAGGUGACUUGUGUUAAAGAUGAACUUUUAUGCAAUGUUUGACUUUUGAUGCUAAAUUCUUGUAUGUUGUGGUGACUUGGGUUAUGAAGCAUGAUACAAAUGU
Hibiscus syriacus is the source of this 844-nucleotide long non-coding RNA. RefSeq lists it as uncharacterized. The transcript is spliced from 3 exons. NCBI's taxonomy places the organism in Eukaryota, Viridiplantae, Streptophyta, Magnoliopsida, Malvales, Malvaceae. The record is from RefSeq and is a predicted model, not a curated record.